This is a non-coding RNA of Arachis ipaensis, 1516 nucleotides long. The record is from RefSeq and is a predicted model, not a curated record. Lineage: Eukaryota; Viridiplantae; Streptophyta; Magnoliopsida; Fabales; Fabaceae.
UCAAUUUUUUUUAAAAAAAAUAAAAAAGAAAAGCGAAAGGGAAAGUGAACGGAAAAAAGAAAGAAGCUCUUUCUGUCUUAUACCACUACUUCGUCACACACACAGACAAACUCGUUCCGUCGCUCUCUCUUUCUCUCUCGCGAUCUAGCUUCCAAACCCUACCACUUAACCUCUUCAACCCCCGUUUUCCUCCUUCAAGUUUGUAUAUCUCCCAAACCAAUCUCUACGAUCCCCAUCCGAAAUCCUAACCGUAGCUACUCGAACUCGUCAUCUGAGAGCACAGCGACGGCGAUGACGUGGGUUAGUUCAGCCGGUGGAAUCUUCUCUCUGUGGUCUGCUUCGUCGAACUUCAUGCCGCGCUAGCUUUCUAGAAAUGGCGACGUCGAACCCUUUCCAUUUGCGAGGUGACGACGCUGAGGUCUCCUCACGGCAAAUCGCCGCGGCGGCAGCAACGUCUCCACUCAAGAAGGGUUCAGCUGCGGCGGCUCAGCAGCAGCAGCAAACUCAGUUGGCUUCUAAGCCUGUUCCUCCUGCUCAGGCUGAUGGAAAGGAAAAAGCAAGAGGAUACAGUGAAGAGGGUGCAACAACAGGAUAAACAUUUUAAGCGUGUUAAGUAAGGUCUUCAGAUGAUCAUGGACCCUGGAAGGAGGCAGAUCAUCGACACCUACAUUGAUGGUGUAGCUGCAGGCCUGCAGCUGCUAGGAAGUGCGAUGUUGGGGAAGAAGAGGAGAGUUACGAGAUCGGUUGCAGUGAGGUGGACCACAAAGGCAGCAGUAGCAGCGGGACAUGGGGGUGUGGCAUCAUGCUCUGGUAUCCCAGCUACCAUUGCGACGGCCAGAGACGGUAGUCCUGGAUACCACGGUUUUGAUGAUAAGAAGAAAACAGAGAGGGUCGCUUGUUCAGGGGCACUGGGGCAGUAGUUCAGAGAUUCAAAUCUAGGAAGAUCAGGCUCUUUUCUCUACAACUUCUUCAGUCACCCAAAAAUGAACCAGACUCUGCACUGAACAUGGCCAUGAUGAGCUAAGAAAUGCUUCAAGUCAUGGAUUGCGGCACCAAUUCCAACGAGGUAUAAGCAGUGGUGGGUGUCGAUCUUCUUUGCAAGCACAUGGUGUAUUUGGAAGCAUAGAAACUGCAAAAUGUUUCAAAGCAAAAGUCUAAAUACAGAGGUCGUGAAAUAGGAGAUAAAGUAUUGGAGCCAAGCUUGGGUGUCAAAUAAAGAAGCGUGCAGGAGAGGAAAAUUUGAUAUCCAAUGAUAUAACGGAUUUGAGGAGUGGAUGAAAUAACUGCGAGAAAGAGAAGAUGGAAGAUAAUAAUAAAGAUAUCAAUAAUUGGCUCGCAGUGACAAGGUCCAGGAAUGGGAAGUGGUGGUACAGUGCUUUUAGCAAUGUCACUGCUUGGUUGGAGCUCAAGUGCUUGGAUUUCCCUAUGCCAUGUCUCAACUUGGAUGGUUUGUGUAUUCCUUUCAUCCAUCUCCCUCAUCAAUUAACUUUAUUUUUCUAAUUAAGAUUUUCUUUUU